This is an RNA transcript of Gracilinanus agilis (Agile Gracile Mouse Opossum), 1820 nucleotides long. It is a transcript of the gene named casein kinase 2 alpha 2, with no coding region annotated. NCBI's taxonomy places the organism in Eukaryota, Metazoa, Chordata, Mammalia, Didelphimorphia, Didelphidae. The record is from RefSeq and is a predicted model, not a curated record. The transcript has 12 exons.
UCCCCGGCCUGGCUCCGCCGCCCUUCGCCGCCCUCGCCUGUGCCGCCGCCUCGUCGCUGCUGGGGUUCCUGCGCUCGGCACCCCGGCCUCGCCGCCUGCUGCUGCUGCCGCCCCUGCCCUCGUCGCCGCAGCCGCCCCGCGCCCCCCGCUGCCUCCCGGCGCCACCCGCCAUGCCCGGCCCGGCCGCCGGGAGCAGGGCCCGGGUCUACGCCGAGGUGAACAGCCUGAGGAGCCGCGAGUACUGGGACUACGAGGCGCACGUCCCGAGCUGGGGUAAUCAGGACGAUUACCAACUGGUUCGGAAACUUGGUCGGGGAAAAUAUAGUGAAGUAUUUGAGGCCAUUAACAUCACCAACAAUGAGAGAGUGGUUGUAAAAAUUCUCAAGCCAGUGAAGAAAAAGAAGAUAAAACGAGAGGUUAAGAUUCUGGAAAAUCUUCGAGGUGGAACAAAUAUCAUUAAGCUCAUUGACACUGUGAAAGACCCGGUGUCAAAGACUCCAGCUUUGGUGUUUGAAUACAUCAAUAAUACUGAUUUUAAGCAACUAUACCAGAUCCUUACAGACUUUGAUAUCCGGUUUUAUAUGUAUGAACUACUUAAGGCUCUGGAUUACUGUCAUAGCAUGGGCAUCAUGCACAGAGAUGUCAAACCACACAAUGUUAUGAUUGAUCACCAACAGAAAAAGCUUCGACUAAUAGACUGGGGUCUGGCUGAGUUCUACCAUCCUGCUCAGGAGUAUAAUGUCCGUGUGGCCUCUAGGUACUUCAAAGGGCCAGAGCUCCUCGUGGACUACCAGAUGUAUGACUACAGCUUGGAUAUGUGGAGUUUAGGCUGUAUGCUGGCCAGCAUGAUCUUCCGAAAGGAGCCCUUCUUCCAUGGCCAAGACAACUACGACCAGCUUGUCCGGAUUGCCAAAGUACUUGGUACAGAUGAAUUAUAUGGAUAUCUGAAGAAGUACCACAUAGACCUGGACCCACACUUCAAUGAUAUCCUGGGGCAACACUCUCGAAAACGCUGGGAAAACUUCAUCCAUAGUGAGAAUAGACAUCUUGUCAGUCCCGAGGCCCUGGACCUUCUUGACAAACUUCUGCGAUAUGACCAUCAACAGAGGCUGACUGCCAAAGAGGCCAUGGAACACCCUUAUUUCUACCCUGUGGUGAAGGAGCAGUCCCAGCCAAGCUCAGAAAAUUCUGUGCUCUCCAGUGGUCUGACAGCAGCGCGAUGAAGACUGGAAAACGACGGGUAAUUCAAGAUUGAUGAUAACCAAUAAAACAUCCAACCAAAAAAAUCUUGAAGGAAAACUACAGUGUGAUAUGAGAAAUUCUGAUCGUUCCUUCUAAAUGCAAAGAAGAGUCUGAUGCUGUUUCUCCCACUUUUCCAUAAGCAGAACAAGAACCAACUCAAAUGUCUUAACGUGUGUACAGAGACCACAUGCAGCGGACAGACACGUCACGGUGACAGGUUACGAGAGCAGGAACCACACCAGCUGAAUGGCAACCAACAGUUUAUAAAACAAACCUUACUUCUGAAUGUAAAAGGUUCAUACGCCUUUGACUUCCUGUUGACUUCCUUCUGACCCAGAAAGCAUGGAAAAUGUGGAGGGUAUGCAAAAUGGUUGUUGGUUAAUGUUGCUCCCCCACUUCCUACAUCCUCACCUCAACCCAUUGACCUUUGGCCCCAUGGCCCCCCUCCCCAGCAAACUGUAUUAACUAGCUGGCCACAAACUCCAGUUGGGGAAUGGGGGGGAAAUAUAUGGCAUGAUGGACAGUUAUAUAUUAUAAUUAAAAAAUUAUAUAUUAUUGAAUAAAAGUUUUAAAAGAAA